CGCCCUUAGAGUUUGAUCAUGGCUCAGGAUGAACGCUGGCGGCGUGCCUAAUACAUGCAAGUCGAACGAAAAGAUGCUUGCAUCUUUGAGUGGCGAACGGGUGAGUAACACGUGAAUAACCUGCCUUAUAGUAGGGGAUAACAUUUGGAAACAGAUGCUAAUACCGUAUAAAACAAUUUUGCAUAAAAUUUGUUAAAAGGCGUUCGCGUCGCUAAAAGAUGGAUUCGCGCUGCAUUAGUUAGUUGGUGAGGUAAAGGCUCACCAAGACGAUGAUGCAUAGCCGAGUUGAGAGACUGGUCGGCCACAUUGGGACUGAGACACGGCCCAAGCUCCUACGGGAGGCUGCAGUAGGGAAUCUUCCACAAUGGGCGAAAGCCUGAUGGAGCAACGCCGCGUGUGUGAUGAAGGCUUUCGGGUCGUAAAGCACUGUUGUAUGGGAAGAAUGGCUUAGGUGAAAAUCUAAGAUUGACGGUACCAUACCAGAAAGGGACGGCUAAAUACGUGCCAGCAGCCGCGGUAAUACGUAUGGUCC
This 532-nucleotide ribosomal RNA is filed under the name uncultured Leuconostoc sp. RNAcentral describes it as "bacterial SSU rRNA". It matches the Rfam family "Bacterial small subunit ribosomal RNA", at positions 1 to 535 of the family's 1533-position model. Lineage: Bacteria; Bacillati; Bacillota; Bacilli; Lactobacillales; Lactobacillaceae. The record is from RNAcentral.